AGAGGCUGCCCAUGUUCCUUGGCUUGCGUCCCCUUCCUCCACCUUCAAAAUCAGCAAAGACCUCGCUGAGAAUCUGAGGAGAGCUAUGGAUCUCUUCUCCGAAAAAUGCGCAAGUCCACAGAUACAAAAAGUGUGAGCUUCUUUGUGCUGCCCUCUACCCUGUGGGUCUAGAGCAGGGCUUGCCACAUAAACGAAAAAGACGUACUUUUCCUGUGGGAUUCGGGGAAUGAAGCAGAGCACAGCCUUCUCUCUGACGCUGCUGUGAUAUAUGCUCUAGAGACAAUGAUGAGAGCUGCGACAUGGAAAAGUUUUGGGACUUUUGGAAAAAAGUCUUGAAAUUCGGGGUGUUACACAAGAGGAUAUGACUUGUCCUGUGAAUAAAGAUCUACAGGAAAAUUUUACAAA
Molecule: long non-coding RNA, 405 nt
Filed under: Equus caballus (horse)
Lineage: Eukaryota; Metazoa; Chordata; Mammalia; Perissodactyla; Equidae
Description: lncRNA (ENSECAG00000051741.1)
Source: RNAcentral